UUCAAGUGCAACUAUGAGUUUCCGUGCUCAACUUUAAUCGUCUAUCUUAUUUGAAUUUUUUAAUAAUUAAUAUUUUUGUUGUUAUUAGAUGAUAAAAUAUAAAUAGUACUUUACACGUGACUUAUGUUCUACAUUCAUUUUAUUGGACGGAGCGAGUAGCUCUCAUUGCCAUUGGU
RNAcentral lists this microRNA precursor (176 nucleotides) under Oryza glumipatula. Its description in RNAcentral is "MIR812 microRNA precursor family". It matches the Rfam family "MIR812 microRNA precursor family", at positions 1 to 157 of the family's 205-position model. Lineage: Eukaryota; Viridiplantae; Streptophyta; Magnoliopsida; Poales; Poaceae. The record is from Rfam by way of RNAcentral.